This 22-nucleotide transfer RNA is filed under the name Poecilia butleri (Pacific molly). Its description in RNAcentral is "partial tRNA-Glu". Lineage: Eukaryota; Metazoa; Chordata; Actinopteri; Cyprinodontiformes; Poeciliidae. The record is from RNAcentral.
UAGAGUUCUUGUAGUUGAGUUA